Long non-coding RNA from Artibeus jamaicensis (Jamaican fruit-eating bat), 1788 nucleotides. RefSeq lists it as uncharacterized. The record is from RefSeq and is a predicted model, not a curated record. Lineage: Eukaryota; Metazoa; Chordata; Mammalia; Chiroptera; Phyllostomidae. The transcript is spliced from 4 exons.
CAUGUUGUCUUUUGCUUCUCCCUCUCUCUCAUGCCCAUUUCCCAUCCACUAUAAUCUUGUUGAUUUACCUGUCCAGGGAAUUUGGAAAAUCCCCAGGCAGGCCAGCGGCCCUGAGAAGAAACUGGACGAUGCUCUGCUCAUCCAAGAGGCCAUUGAUCAGCUUAACAGUGUGUCCCGGGAAAUGCUGUAACAGUGAGAGAGGAAAGGAGAGAGAGAAGAGGAAACAUCGAUGUGAGAGAGAAACAUCAAGGGUGGCCUCCUGUACAUGACCCAACCAGGGAUGGAAUCCAAAACCUAGAGGCAAGCUGGGGGACCUCGGUCCAGGGCUGGGAGGAGCAAGCAGAGCCCCUAAACGAAAGGGAGCACACAACUCGAACACUUUUUCCAAACUGGGAACAGGCAUCAUCCUUAUUUCUCAAUGGAGGCGCUGAAAUCUGAGAUUUGCUUCAGGCUGCAGUGUGAGUCAGAACUUGGACCAGAAACACUACUUUCUACACGUUCUCUCAUCUACCAACCACGGCUUGUUCCCUCGUUGGCCCUCCUCCAGCCUGGGCCAUGAGUAGAGCCCGCAGGAUCCCAGGGCCCCCGCCAGCUGUUGACAAGGCUGCUCUCCUGGGGUGAACCGAGGCAAAGGCUUGCUUGCUCAUACCUGACAGUCUGUGUGUUACCCAGUAACUUUCCCAAGAGUGCAGGGAGAGUCCACGUUUAUAAAGCCCCAGGAACGCUGAGAUCAAAGGCAUCAAGUGGCCUUCCCAGAACACAGUCUGCAGGCCCCACGUCUCGCUUGGGCUUGAUGGAUACGUGCUCCUCCUGCGCAGGAGGUGGACUCCUUGCUUCAGAUGAAUUGAGCUCAUUAAUUAGGAUUCUGCCUGCAGCUUAUUGUGAAAGAUGCUGUUAUUACUGUAAUUAGAACCCUGAGCCAACCCCAGCCUCUCUCACCAUAAACAUUCGGGGGGAGGAGGCUAUCUCCUUGAACCCACUGUGCUCAUGGUUGCUAAAUUCAAGCCCAUUAUCUUGCACAGACAGGCAGCCCAGGCUCUCAUAAAGUAAGAAGAUUGCUGAUUCCAACAGUGCUUUCUUAGACAAUCGGUGUCUGAGAACAAUAGUGAUGAAUGCAUUGCUUAAUAGUGCUUCCCUAUUUCCAGACAUGAGCUCAAUUCUGGGCCUGAAAUGCCUCUAUACAUCAUUUCCACUCCACAUCUAAGAGAUAUCUUAAAGUAAAACCAAGCUUCUCUACCCAUUUGCCAUCACAGCGCUACUUCUUCCAGCUGGAAAAGCCACAGCACCCUCGAGGCGAUCCUUCCCCACACCGGCAGCACGUCAGCAGCCUGUAGGGAGCUUCCAGACACCCAGACGCGCAGGACUCAGCCUCAGGAAUUUCUGAUUCACUUGAUCUGGGGAUCAGGGCAUCAAGCGUGGAAAUAUAGCUCAGCAACCACAUGAAAACCAGUGCGGAGCGAGUUGGCACGCAGGACCACACCUGAGAAGAAGUUCUCCCAUGUGAAAUCAGGCCUGCAUUGUACUUACGCUGCUUUGUGACUUGCUCUUGCUAAAACUCCCUCAACCUGAGUUCAGGCAGAAAAUGCUUACUGCAUAUCUUUAAAGCAACUUCCUGAAGUCUGUGCUAAUUCUCGCAAGGAUUGAAAUGUAACCAGACGUGUUACCCUUAUCAUUCCCUUGCAUUUGCAAAAUUUUUUUCUUGUUAAUCUGUAAGAAGUAAUCAGUAACAUCCCUUCCAUUGCUAUCUGUAAAAAGUAAUUACCUAGAGCAAACCUAAGUGUAAUUAAU